CUAAGAGACCAUUCACGGUUACUUACACAAACUUUUUCUCUGGCGAGGCGGUGGCCGCCUCCACCACCGUUCUUGCUACUUUUUUCUAUUUUUCGACCAUUUCUUCCAAGAUCUCAACAGCCCAACACAAUGACGUUGAACCCUUUUUCAUGUUCUUUGAAUAAGGGUUUGGUCGGCCCUGCUCUGGUGUAUUUGGAUUUAGGAUUCGUCGGCUUUCGUCCACAAUUUUUCUUCUCGUUUGAUUGGGUGUUUCUCGUCUAGCUUGGUUAUGUAAUUUGGGAGCUAUCUUCUCUGGCAGUCCUGGUAGCAAUCGAAGCUUUCUGGUUCUUUUUUUCGAUUGAAUAGCUCUUUUGUAGUUCGAGCUACAUUGUGUGGGUGAGGCGGUGGGUGUCGUUGUACCAAUCUUAAAACUGCUGAAGAAAUAUUGAAUGUGAGUAUUUUUAGUUGGAUUAUA
Long non-coding RNA from Hibiscus syriacus, 454 nucleotides. RefSeq lists it as uncharacterized. The transcript has 2 exons. NCBI's taxonomy places the organism in Eukaryota, Viridiplantae, Streptophyta, Magnoliopsida, Malvales, Malvaceae. The record is from RefSeq and is a predicted model, not a curated record.